This 381-nucleotide long non-coding RNA is filed under the name Salvia miltiorrhiza (redroot sage). RNAcentral's name for it is "long non-coding RNA (SMIL_LNC012942)". The record is from RNAcentral. Lineage: Eukaryota; Viridiplantae; Streptophyta; Magnoliopsida; Lamiales; Lamiaceae.
GAGAUGAGAGUCUGUGAAAUUAGGAUUUGAGAAUUUUGGGAGAGAAAGAACCGGUGUGGACAUGGGAGGGGGCAGAUCGCGGCGGUGGAAGGGAGCGGGGUGGUCCGGCGAAGCAGAUCGCAGCGGUGGGAGGGGCGGGGGCGCGGUGGGGUAGAUUGCGUCGGCGGGGGAGGGGAGAACCGAAUGUGAGAGAUGGGAGAAGGGGAAUUGGUUUUAGGGUUUGGAAGUGGGGUAGAGAAAUAUUAGAUUUUAUAUUUUUUAAAAUAAAAUAAGUGAUGUGGAUGCAUAUUGCCAUGUCAGCGAUACAGAAUUGAGCUAGAAGCUCUAGAAUUGCAAGGAUUUUAAUUCUUGAAUUCUUAGACAUGCCACAUAGGACCCCGG